This 443-nucleotide ribosomal RNA is filed under the name uncultured bacterium. Its description in RNAcentral is "bacterial SSU rRNA". It matches the Rfam family "Bacterial small subunit ribosomal RNA", at positions 49 to 507 of the family's 1533-position model. The record is from RNAcentral.
UAACACAUGCAAGUCGAACGGAGAUAUGAUUUCGGUUAUAUCUUAGUGGCGAACGGGUGAGUAACGCGUGAGCAACCUGACCUUCAGAGGGGGAUAACACUUGGAAACAGGUGCUAAUACCGCAUAAGACCACGACCCGACAUCGGGAUGCGGUCAAAGGAGCAAUCCGCUGAGGGAGGGGCUCGCGUCCCAUUAGAUAGAUGGCGGGGUAACGGCCCACCAUGUCGACGAUGGGUAGCCGAGCUGAGAGGCUGAUCGGCCACACUGGAACUGAGACACGGUCCAGACUCCUACGGGAGGCAGCAGUGGGGAAUAUUGGCAAUGGGCGCAAGCCUGACCCAGCAACGCCGCGUGAGGGAAGAAGGCCUUCGGGUUGUAAACCUCUGUCCUUGGUGACGAAACAAAUGACGGUAGCCAAGGAGGAAGCCCCGGCUAACUACGUG